Molecule: ribosomal RNA, 468 nt
Filed under: uncultured bacterium
Lineage: Bacteria
Description: partial 16S ribosomal RNA
Rfam family: Bacterial small subunit ribosomal RNA
Source: RNAcentral
GACGAACGCUGGCGGCGUGCUUAACACAUGCAAGUCGAACGGAAAGGCCCUGCUUUUGUGGGGUGCUCGAGUGGCGAACGGGUGAGUAACACGUGAGUAACCUGCCCUUGACUUUGGGAUAACUUCAGGAAACUGGGGCUAAUACCGGAUAGGAGCUCCUGCUGCAUGGUGGGGGUUGGAAAGUUUCGGCGGUUGGGGAUGGACUCGCGGCUUAUCAGCUUGUUGGUUGGGUAGUGGCUUACCAAGGCUUUGACGGGUAGCCGGCCUGAGAGGGUGACCGGCCACAUUGGGCCGGGGAUACGGCCCGGACCCCAACGGGAGGCAGCGGUGGGGAAUAGUGUACAAGGGGCGGAAGCCUAAUGCAGCACCGCCGCGUGGGGGAUGACGGCCUUCGGGUUGUAUUGCGCUUUCGCCUGUGACGAAGCGUGAGUGACGGUAAUGGGUAAAGAAGCACCGGCUAACUCCGUG